RNAcentral lists this non-coding RNA (21 nucleotides) under Arabidopsis thaliana (thale cress). Lineage: Eukaryota; Viridiplantae; Streptophyta; Magnoliopsida; Brassicales; Brassicaceae. The record is from RNAcentral.
GAUUACCAUCACGAUGGAUGU